CGGGUAACCUGCCCAAGAGAUCGGGAUAACACCUGGAAACAGAUGCUAAUACCGGAUAACAACAGAUGAUGCCUAUCAACUGUUUAAAAGAUGGUUCUGCUAUCACUCUUGGAUGGACCUGCGGUGCAUUAGCUAGUUGGUAGGGUAACGGCCUACCAAGGCGAUGAUGCAUAGCCGAGUUGAGAGACUGAUCGGCCACAUUGGGACUGAGACACGGCCCAAACUCCUACGGGAGGCAGCAGGC
This 244-nucleotide ribosomal RNA is filed under the name uncultured Lactobacillus sp. Its description in RNAcentral is "partial 16S ribosomal RNA". It matches the Rfam family "Bacterial small subunit ribosomal RNA", at positions 118 to 354 of the family's 1533-position model. The record is from RNAcentral. Lineage: Bacteria; Bacillati; Bacillota; Bacilli; Lactobacillales; Lactobacillaceae.